This 70-nucleotide transfer RNA is filed under the name Salamandra salamandra (fire salamander). Its description in RNAcentral is "tRNA-Leu". It matches the Rfam family "tRNA". From Rfam's summary of the family: Transfer RNA (tRNA) molecules are approximately 80 nucleotides in length. Their secondary structure includes four short double-helical elements and three loops (D, anti-codon, and T loops). The record is from RNAcentral. Lineage: Eukaryota; Metazoa; Chordata; Amphibia; Caudata; Salamandridae.
CUUUUAAAGGAUAAUAGUAAUCCAUUGGUCUUAGGAACCAAAAAUUCUUGGUGCAACCCCAAGUAAAAGU